This 497-nucleotide ribosomal RNA is filed under the name uncultured bacterium. RNAcentral's name for it is "partial 16S ribosomal RNA". It matches the Rfam family "Bacterial small subunit ribosomal RNA", at positions 28 to 507 of the family's 1533-position model. The record is from RNAcentral.
GGUGAACGCUGGCGGCGUGCCUAAUACAUGCCAGUCGAGCGAACAGACGAGGAGCUUGCUCCUCUGACGUUAGCGGCGGACGGGUGAGUAACACGUGGAUAACCUACCUAUAAGACUGGGAUAACUUCGGGAAACCGGAGCUAAUACCGGAUAAUAUAUUGAACCGCAUGGUUCAAUAGUGAAGGACGGUUUUGCUGUCACUUAUAGAUGGAUCCGCGCCGCAUUAGCUAGUUGGUAAGGUAACGGCUUACCAAGGCGACGAUGCGUAGCCGACCUGAGAGGGUGAUCGGCCACACUGGAACUGAGACACGGUCCAGACUCCUACGGGAGGCAGCAGUAGGGAAUCUUCCGCAAUGGGCGAAAGCCUGACGGAGCAACGCCGCGUGAGUGAUGAAGGUCUUCGGAUCGUAAAACUCUGUUAUUAGGGAAGAACAAAUGUGUAAGUAACUAUGCACGUCUUGACGGUACCUAAUCAGAAAGCCACGGCUAACUACGUG